Molecule: long non-coding RNA, 379 nt
Filed under: Homo sapiens (human)
Lineage: Eukaryota; Metazoa; Chordata; Mammalia; Primates; Hominidae
Description: HSALNT0352838
Source: RNAcentral
CAUAUAGUUACCUGGACAAGACAGUAAAACAUCUGAUUCUGCCAACGCCCAGGACUUGGUAUUCUCAUCAAGAUGUCAUCGAACACUAUGUCCUGAAAAUCUGCGUAAUUUUUUGGUUCUUCUUUUUGUGCUUAAAUAGAAUUGAUGUAUAGCAUGUAUAAUGUGUGGCAGAUAACAGUUAGCUAAGAGCAAAUGUAAUGACGGUGAUUGAGAAGAAACGGAGUCUCACUCUGUCGGCCAGGCUGGAGUGCAGUGGCGUGAUCUCGGCUCACUGCAACCUCUGCCUCCAAGGUUCAAGCAAUUCUCCUGCCUCAGCCUCCUGAGUAGCUGGGACUACAGGCGCCUGCCACCAUGCCCAGGUUUCUUCCUAGGCUUCUUC